AGUGAACGCUGGCGGUAGGCCUAACACAUGCAAGUCGAACGGCAGCACAGUAAGAGCUUGCUCUUACGGGUGGCGAGUGGCGGACGGGUGAGUAAUACAUCGGCAUCUACUUUUUCGUGGGGGAUAACGUAGGGGAACUUACGCUAAUACCGCAUACGACCUACGGGUGAAAGCAGGGGAUCUUCGGACCUUGCGCGAUUGAAUGAGCGGAUGUCGGAUUAGUUAGUUGGAGGGGUAAAGGCCCACCAAGGCGAGGAUCCGUAGCUGAUCUGAUAGGAUGGUCAGCCACCCUGCAACUGAAACACGGCCCAGACUCCUACGGUACGCAGCAGUGCGGAAUAUUAGACAAUGCACGCAAGCCUAACCCAACCAUACCGCGUGGGUUAAGAAAGCCUUCCGCUUGUAAAGCCAUUCUGUUUUUAAAGAAAAACAGCAUGUUAAUACCCCGCUGUUCUGACGGUACCCAAAGAAUAAGCACCGGCUAACUUCGUG
This 492-nucleotide ribosomal RNA is filed under the name uncultured bacterium. RNAcentral's name for it is "partial 16S ribosomal RNA". It matches the Rfam family "Bacterial small subunit ribosomal RNA", at positions 29 to 507 of the family's 1533-position model. The record is from RNAcentral.